GAAGCCCGCCAGACUGCCGCUGGUGCAAGCCGCAAGGCCGGUGCGCAAGCACCGGGUGGAAACACCGCACUGGAGGAACGUCCGGACUGCACAGGGCAGCGUAGCAGCUAACGGCUGUCCACCGAAACCCGCGCGCGCAAGCCUGCGGGCCAAGGUGAGGAUCAGAGCAACAGAGACGAGUCGCCGGCGGGGCAACCUGGCGGCGGGUGAAACGGGCAAUCUCUACGCGCAGCAAUACCAAAUAGGCACACGCUCCGCCGCGCAGUCCGCUGCAUGGUGGUACCCGGGGCCCCCGGGAGUGUGCGGGUAGGUAGCACCGAGCCGUCGGGUGACCGGCGGCCCAGAGUAAUGGCAGUCACAUCCGGGGCGACCCGGGUGCACAGAAUCCGGCUUAUCGGUGGGCUUCACAC
RNAcentral lists this RNase P RNA (410 nucleotides) under Rhodoferax sp. RNAcentral's name for it is "RNase P RNA component class A". It matches the Rfam family "Bacterial RNase P class A". From Rfam's summary of the family: Ribonuclease P (RNase P) is a ubiquitous endoribonuclease, found in archaea, bacteria and eukarya as well as chloroplasts and mitochondria. Its best characterised activity is the generation of mature 5'-ends of tRNAs by cleaving the 5'-leader elements of precursor-tRNAs. Cellular RNase Ps are ribonucleoproteins. The record is from RNAcentral. Lineage: Bacteria; Pseudomonadati; Pseudomonadota; Betaproteobacteria; Burkholderiales; Comamonadaceae.